UAAGGAUAAAUAAUUAAAAGGUUCUAUAUUUAAGACCUCGUUAUUACGGGGUUUUUUGUUAUAUGGAGCUUAGUAACUCCGUGAUUUCACGGACUUUCUUGGGGCUAUUUGCCCUUUUUUU
Molecule: regulatory RNA element, 121 nt
Organism: Shewanella sp. P1-14-1
Lineage: Bacteria; Pseudomonadati; Pseudomonadota; Gammaproteobacteria; Alteromonadales; Shewanellaceae
Rfam family: Gammaprotebacteria rimP leader
Source: Rfam